RNAcentral lists this long non-coding RNA (543 nucleotides) under Brassica napus (rape). RNAcentral's name for it is "long non-coding RNA (BNAP_LNC021185)". The record is from RNAcentral. Lineage: Eukaryota; Viridiplantae; Streptophyta; Magnoliopsida; Brassicales; Brassicaceae.
AAUGGGUUCAGCCAUUGAGGGAAAACGGUUAGUUGGACUCAAUUAAUCCUAAGAUCUAAAAUGAAGGUGAUCAAUCUCAAUUUUAGCAUUAAGUCCAUAAGCAAUGAAAGAACAAUCAAAAUACCUUUUUGAUAGUCAUAUUAGCAGUACAUAAUUUCAACCAUGGUGAGAAACCUAAAUCUAACAAUUGGUUUACUCAAACAAAUUCAUGAGAGACAAAGUCAUGAUGGUGUGAAAUAAACUCAAAUGAAACAUAGAACACAAAUAGAUAGAGUAAUAGAAAUAAAGGAGUUCAAGAUCUUCUCUGUUUUGCAGUCUCAGAUCGAUCUCUCCAUUCCUAAGCUCUCCUAAUGGUAGCCAAAAUACUCCUCUCCAAAACUAGUUUUUUGCAAAUGUCUCCUAGAAAUGAUACAAAACCCUAGUACAUAUAGCCUAACAGGCGGCUAUGGACUUAAGUUGUAAAUAAUAGAUCUUCUGGGAAACGAAAUCUUUUAAUUUGCUAUUUCAUCCGUGUGACUGGGUAUCGAUCAAUGCACAUAUAUG